UAAGCGGAGGAAAAGAAACUAACAAGGAUUCCCCUAGUAACGGCGAGUGAAGCGGGAAGAGCUCAAAUUUAAAAUCUGGCGGUGUAUUCCGUCCGAGUUGUAGUCUAGAGAAGCAUCAUCCGCGCCGGACCAUGUACAAGUCUCUUGGAACAGAGCGUCAUAGAGGGUGAGAAUCCCGUCCUUGACAUGGACUCCCGGUGCUUUGUGUUGUGCUCUCAACGAGUCGAGUUGUUUGGGAAUGCAGCUCAAAAUGGGUGGUAAAUUCCAUCUAAAGCUAAAUAUUGGCGAGAGACCGAUAGCGAACAAGUACCGUGAGGGAAAGAUGAAAAGCACUUUGGAGAGAGAGUUAAACAGUACGUGAAAUUGUUGAAAUGGAAACGCUUGAAGUCAGUCGCGUUCUCUGGGAUUCAGCCUGGCUUCUGCCUGGUGCAUUUCCUAGUCUACGGGCCAGCAUGAAUUUCGACCGAUAGAAAAGGGCUUGAGGAAUGUGGCACCUUCGGGUGUGUUAUAGCCUCUUGUCGUAUGUGUCGGUUGGGAUUGAGGACCUCAGUGCACGCUUUUGUUGUGCUUUGAUGCUGGCGUAAUGGCUUUAAACGACCCGUCUUGAAACACGGACCAAGGAGUCUAACAUGUCUGCGAGUGUUUGGGUGGAAAACCCGAGUGCAUAAUGAAAGUGAUAGUUGGGAACCUCUCACGAGGGGCACCGACGCCCGGACCAGACCUUCUGUGACGGAUCCGAGGUAGAGCAUAUAUGUUGGGACCCGAAAGAUGGUGAACUAUGCCUGCAUAGGGUGAAGCCAGAGGAAACUCUGGUGGAGGCUCGUAGCGAUUCUGACGUGCAAAUCGAUCGUCAAAUGUGGGUAUAGGGGCGAAAGACUAAUC
RNAcentral lists this ribosomal RNA (882 nucleotides) under Ceratorhiza oryzae-sativae. RNAcentral describes it as "Sclerotium oryzae-sativae partial large subunit ribosomal RNA". It matches the Rfam family "Eukaryotic large subunit ribosomal RNA", at positions 47 to 936 of the family's 3401-position model. Lineage: Eukaryota; Fungi; Basidiomycota; Agaricomycetes; Cantharellales; Ceratobasidiaceae. The record is from RNAcentral.